Molecule: unclassified non-coding RNA, 169 nt
Filed under: uncultured Helotiales
Lineage: Eukaryota; Fungi; Ascomycota; Leotiomycetes; Helotiales
Description: sequence contains ITS1
Source: RNAcentral
CAGAGUUCAUGCCCUAACGGGUAGAUCUCCCACCCUUGUGUAUCAUUACCUUUGUUGCUUUGGCAGGCCGUCAGGCUUCGGCCCGGCUACCGGCUCCGGCUGGUAAGCGCCUGCCAGAGGACCCCAAACUCUUUGUAUAAUUGUCGUCUGAGUACUAUUUUAAUAGUUA